AAAAAACUUUCUUUGGGUUACAGUCACCAUUGGAAUUCUUUGUUGAGAAGGUCGUUGUGGUAGAGUAGACCUGCUUCGGUUUGGCUUAGUUGGAACUGAACCUCGAGUUUGGAGCAUAUCUGAGUUUUCCCUGGAUCAAAAGCAAUGUGUGAUCCUUGUGUCCUUUGUUGCGUAACCUACGAUCACUGUUCGUCCUGUUCAUGCAGUGAUGUGCACGUUUGCUACCAUUCUUGCUCACAUAAUCACUGCCAUCGUUACUGCCGGUGCUAUCGACAUCGUUGCUAUUAUUGCUGGAAGCGCAAGUGUCUACUACUUUAAAAUAGUCGUGAUGUUUGGCAAGCGGAGUAGGCGACAUCAGGGAAGCGAAGGAUAGGAGAAAAAGGACAUGCUGCGCAUAGAUCGGUAGUGUUGGAUUAUUAUAUUUGACCUUCUCAUAGAUUUCAAGGAGGACUAUGAUUCAAAUGGAUUCGUCAAGAAUGCAGGGGGAUCAUAGCGAAUAGAGAAACAUUUUUGAGUUAGGAGAGUAGAUGAUUCAUGGAUUCGCUUUCAAGAAUUUUUGGGAGUUUCCUCAGUGAAAUUCGACGUUAAGUGAUGUGAAUUUUGAAUGUAAAACUUUAUCUGGUAGUCGUGUUAGGAUCUAUUAAAGGCGCAGUUUUGAUUUGACUGUAAAACCGUU
Long non-coding RNA from Hermetia illucens (black soldier fly), 676 nucleotides. RefSeq lists it as uncharacterized. The record is from RefSeq and is a predicted model, not a curated record. Lineage: Eukaryota; Metazoa; Arthropoda; Insecta; Diptera; Stratiomyidae. The transcript has 2 exons.